This 614-nucleotide non-coding RNA is filed under the name Cryptosporidium parvum. The record is from RNAcentral. Lineage: Eukaryota; Apicomplexa; Conoidasida; Eucoccidiorida; Cryptosporidiidae.
GUUUUAUUGAAAUGCCCCAAUUCCAAUUGCCAAAAAAAUGAAGUAAUCAGCUUUUCAAAUUAGGAUAUUAAUGAAUAAUUAUCUCGGAAUAAUAGGAUUUGGUGUGAAUUCAAAAGCUACUUCGAAGUUUAUAACUUAUGUAGCCUAGUUACUUUGUUUCCAACAUUGACUAAUAUCUUCCGGCAAAAUAUCCUCAUUUCCCUCGCAAUUUCGCGAAGCUAGCUAAUCUAUUUGGAUUUUAGAGGACUAAAAUUAUGAAAUUUUAUAGGAAAGAAAUAUAACAAGAAGAGUUUAGAAAUUAAAGGUGCCUAGAAAUUGUGCUGGUCCAAUUAACGCCAAAAGAAGGCUAUUCAUCUGUUUGAACGUCAGAAUCAGAAUUAUAUAUUUCUAUUACUCUCUCGUAUACAAAAUAAGGGGAUGCGCCUGGAAUAUUACUUGGAUUCCUCCCUUUUAUUUGUUUUCUAGGUCUUACUGGUCUUGGGGAACUGAUAGCAUUUCGAAUUUUCCUUAAAUGAGUGGCAUUAGAUAAAAGUUCUGGUAUAUGAACUAGCUGAUAGAUAGGUACUUUAGUUAGGUUUUGAUAAAUUAUAUUUUCAUAGGUUUCUUUAAGUGUG